RNAcentral lists this ribosomal RNA (497 nucleotides) under uncultured bacterium. RNAcentral's name for it is "partial 16S ribosomal RNA". It matches the Rfam family "Bacterial small subunit ribosomal RNA", at positions 28 to 507 of the family's 1533-position model. The record is from RNAcentral.
GACGAACGCUGGCGGCGUGCCUAAUACAUGCAAGUCGAACGCUGAAGAGAGGAGCUUGCUCUUCUUGGAUGAGUUGCGAACGGGUGAGUAACGCGUAGGUAACCUGCCUUGUAGCGGGGGAUAACUAUUGGAAACGAUAGCUAAUACCGCAUAACAAUGGAUGACACAUGUCAUUUAUUUGAAAGGGGCAAUUGCUCCACUACAAGAUGGACCUGCGUUGUAUUAGCUAGUAGGUGAGGUAAUGGCUCACCUAGGCGACGAUACAUAGCCGACCUGAGAGGGUGAUCGGCCACACUGGGACUGAGACACGGCCCAGACUCCUACGGGAGGCAGCAGUAGGGAAUCUUCGGCAAUGGGGGCAACCCUGACCGAGCAACGCCGCGUGAGUGAAGAAGGUUUUCGGAUCGUAAAGUUCUGUUGUAAGUCAAGAACGGGUGUGAGAGUGGAAAGUUCACACUGUGACGGUAGCUUACCAGAAAGGGACGGCUAACUACGUG